CGCGGAGUGGAGCAGCCCGGUAGCUCGCUAGGCUCAUAACCUAGAGGUCGUGCGUUCAAAUCGCACCUCCGCAACCA
RNAcentral lists this transfer RNA (77 nucleotides) under Agrobacterium rubi. RNAcentral describes it as "tRNA-Met". It matches the Rfam family "tRNA". From Rfam's summary of the family: Transfer RNA (tRNA) molecules are approximately 80 nucleotides in length. Their secondary structure includes four short double-helical elements and three loops (D, anti-codon, and T loops). The record is from RNAcentral. Lineage: Bacteria; Pseudomonadati; Pseudomonadota; Alphaproteobacteria; Hyphomicrobiales; Rhizobiaceae.